Molecule: ribosomal RNA, 448 nt
Filed under: Comamonadaceae bacterium
Lineage: Bacteria; Pseudomonadati; Pseudomonadota; Betaproteobacteria; Burkholderiales; Comamonadaceae
Description: bacterial SSU rRNA
Rfam family: Bacterial small subunit ribosomal RNA
Source: RNAcentral
AGGCCUUCGGGUUGUAAACUGCUUUUGUACGGAACGAAACGGUCUGCCCUAAUACGGUGGGCUAAUGACGGUACCGUAAGAAUAAGCACCGGCUAACUACGUGCCAGCAGCCGCGGUAAUACGUAGGGUGCGAGCGUUAAUCGGAAUUACUGGGCGUAAAGCGUGCGCAGGCGGUUAUGUAAGACAGAUGUGAAAUCCCCGGGCUCAACCUGGGACCUGCAUUUGUGACUGCAUAGCUAGAGUACGGUAGAGGGGGAUGGAAUUCCGCGUGUAGCAGUGAAAUGCGUAGAUAUGCGGAGGAACACCGAUGGCGAAGGCAAUCCCCUGGACCUGUACUGACGCUCAUGCACGAAAGCGUGGGGAGCAAACAGGAUUAGAUACCCUGGUAGUCCACGCCCUAAACGAUGUCAACUGGUUGUUGGGUCUUCACUGACUCAGUAACGAAGCU